UUACUCUGGUUUCUCUUCAUAAUGCACAAGUCUUUCACCUUUUACUAAAAACUUAUGUGGAGAGUGACUCCGAGUUUAGUCUGUUUUGGCAGGCUUUGCCGCCUGGCAGAGCC
This 113-nucleotide small nuclear RNA is filed under the name Acanthochromis polyacanthus (spiny chromis). RNAcentral describes it as "U5 spliceosomal RNA (ENSAPOG00000016990.1)". It matches the Rfam family "U5 spliceosomal RNA". Rfam says of the family: U5 RNA is a component of both types of known spliceosome. Lineage: Eukaryota; Metazoa; Chordata; Actinopteri; Pomacentridae. The record is from Rfam by way of RNAcentral.